Hemicordylus capensis (graceful crag lizard) is the source of this 1696-nucleotide long non-coding RNA. RefSeq lists it as uncharacterized. The transcript is spliced from 3 exons. NCBI's taxonomy places the organism in Eukaryota, Metazoa, Chordata, Lepidosauria, Squamata, Cordylidae. The record is from RefSeq and is a predicted model, not a curated record.
CUCACAGUGCAGAAGGUUGGAAGGAGGAAGGCUCCAGCAACAGUCAGAGCAAAACAACUUCACAAAAGAGUGAACCACUCAAGCCAGCAUAAACUAAGAGCCACAGCCUAAUCCAAAAAAGCUACUGAAAAUCAACAGAAACUAUCACGGUGGCCAGAAGUUUCAUUUGCUGACAAAAUUACUACAGACAAGGUGAUCUGAUUCAUGCCUGCAGUUUUUGUGAGAAAAGAUCCUCCUAAGGAACUAGUGACUGACAAUGAGACACAGCUUACCUCAUUUGAAAUGGAGCAACAUUCACAUAACCAUGAGGUAAACCACAAGACUGUUUCCUUGUACCAUUCUCAAGGGAAUAGCUUUGUGGAAAGAACAAACAGAUUAGUGAAAGAAAGUUUACAACUGGCUACUACGCAACAACAACCCUGGAAAGAGGCAAUCCAUGAAAUUCUAUUUGCAUAUCAAACUACUCCUCAUUCUCCUACAAGAAAAUCACCUUUUGAACUGCUGAGAGGAUGCAAAGCUUACCCAAUGGCAACAACUGAUAAGACUUUCCAUGCCAUAUCACCCUGAGGAUGCAGAGAUUCAUGAUCAGGCAGAAGCUCCUAUGCCUCUCAUGAUUGCAUGGCAGAAUAAACUUCAACAGGUGCAACUUUUCCUAUGAUGGAGAUGCAUUUCAUUCAUCCCAGCCAUGCAGCUGCUAAAGAUAAAGGUGCUUGGACUCAGUGACCACAUUGUCUUAGCUAGACCUUGACUUGACUCUGAAUUUUCUUGGCUUUGUAGUGACUUCGAAUUGUCUUGUGUCUGAAGCUUGAUAAAAUUCUGAUUCCUUUUAUGUACUACCAUGCCCUGGAUGUAUUAAUUUGUAUAUAUUAUCUGAAUGUAUGUAUUAAUUAUAUCUUCUUUGUGAUAUGCAUCUACCCUCUCAAGGAUAUCUUCCAAAUUAACAAAAGUGAGGAUGGAUGGAGAGAGGCAAUACUAUAGCUCCAAAUGUUUUCUGGUUUUUUUGUCAUAGAGAGUAGGAGCAAAUAGUGUUGAAUUCCAAGCUUCCCUUCCUCCAGAGAAAUGAGUCUUUCCUCUGGAAGGAGCUCUUUCUGUUGGAAGAAGGGGAACUUUCCCACUGAAUUUGAUAUAUCUUCCCAUUAUGUCUUCUGCACACUCUUGAUUUGGUGUUCGCUAGGAAAGGAUGACUAGGGACUCUUUGCUACUAGAGGGUGGCUAGGGAAAGAGGGGUAGGUUUUGCCCCAUGGGAUAAAUAGCACCUCCAGGGAGUAAUCUGCAUCAGAAAAAUGGUUCAUGGGAAAGGAACCAUGCCUGCUCUCUGAAUGGUGAGGGCACAGCUGCAUUUGCCCUUCUAAAAAAUACAUGGAUGAUCUAAUCAUGUAUCUCUAUCAUAUCUAGUCUUUCUUUCAAUUUCUGCACAUCUAAAUUACUACCCAGUAGGAGUGUGCAUUCUUUUUUUGAAUAAAGCAUAGUGUAGUGGUUAGAGUGUUGGACUAGGACCAGGAAGACCCGAGUUCAAAUCCCCAUUCAACCAUGAAACUCACCAUGAAUGAAACCAUGAAACUCUGGGCCAGUCACAUAUCUUUCAGCCUAACCUACCUCACAGGGUUGUUGUGAGGAUAAAAAUAACCAUGUACAUCGCUCUGAGCUCCUCAGCGAAAGAGUGAGAUAUAAGUGUAAAAAUAAAUAAAUAUAAUAC